GCUUAUGGCCAUACCACCCUGAACACCCCCGAUCUCGUCUGAUCUCGGAAGUUAAGCAGGGUCGGGCCUGGUCAGUACUUGGAAGGGGCAGCAUGGUGGCACGGUGGUUAGCA
Molecule: ribosomal RNA, 113 nt
Filed under: Neolamprologus brichardi
Lineage: Eukaryota; Metazoa; Chordata; Actinopteri; Cichliformes; Cichlidae
Source: RNAcentral